RNAcentral lists this unclassified non-coding RNA (453 nucleotides) under Bombus terrestris (buff-tailed bumblebee). RNAcentral's name for it is "misc RNA ENSBTSG00005036800.1". Lineage: Eukaryota; Metazoa; Arthropoda; Insecta; Hymenoptera; Apidae. The record is from RNAcentral.
CCACAACCAACCUCCAGAGGCCAAUCUCCAUGACGAUUAAUUGACAAAGAGUAGGAAUCAUCGCGACAAAGUGACUCGAAAACACGGCUACGUCUUCGUUCGAGACAUCCUCUCUUUUUCUCUUCUCUCUUGACCAAACUCAACAUUAUUCACAGUCUUGAAUCCAAGAUAAACCCCGCACGAUUCACUAUCAGCUUAUCGAUCAUCGUCGUCGAAAUCUAUUCUUCGCCUUGUACACCGAUACCCUUUCACCUUUCACGAUUCUUAAUUUCUCUUUUUCAAAGCUUCGUGGUUACACUCCUACUUUCAGGCUAUUUGAUGGCUUCCGGCACGCGACAGCCUAGGCUAUUCCUCCCGAUGACGCAUCCUGAAUCAGACCAAAGGACGUCGAUGCCAGUUUAUUCCGUGAGAUGACGACAGAGGAGGGCUAAAAAGGCCAGAAGGUGCGUUUGG